Molecule: small nuclear RNA, 105 nt
Organism: Mesocricetus auratus (golden hamster)
Lineage: Eukaryota; Metazoa; Chordata; Mammalia; Rodentia; Cricetidae
Source: RefSeq, a predicted model, not a curated record
UGGUGUCAGUUUCAGCAGCACACUAAAAUUGGAAUGAUAAGGAAAAGAUUAGCAUGGCCUCUGGGCAAGGAUGACACUCAGGUUCUCUGGAAGCAUCCCAUAAGG